Molecule: ribosomal RNA, 409 nt
Filed under: bacterium
Lineage: Bacteria
Description: partial 16S ribosomal RNA
Rfam family: Bacterial small subunit ribosomal RNA
Source: RNAcentral
UGGGGAAUAUUGCACAAUGGGCGAAAGCCUGAUGCAGCGACGCCGCGUGAGGGAUGACGGCCUUCGGGUUGUAAACCUCUUUCAGCAGGGACGAAGCGCAAGUGACGGUACCUGCAGAAGAAGCACCGGCUAACCACGUGCCAGCAGCCGCGGUAAUACGUAGGGUGCAAGCGUUGUCCGGAAUUACUGGGCGUAAAGAGUUCGUAGGCGGUUUGUCGCGUCGUUUGUGAAAUCCAGCAGCUCAACUGCUGGCUUGCAGGCGAUACGGGCAGACUUGAGUACUGCAGGGGAGACUGGAAUUCCUGGUGUAGCGGUGAAAUGCGCAGAUAUCAGGAGGAACACCGGUGGCGAAGGCGGGUCUCUGGGCAGUAACUGACGCUGAGGAACGAAAGCGUGGGUAGCGAACAGG